UUACGGGAGGCAGCAGUGGGGAAUAUUGGACAAUGGGCGAAAGCCUGAUCCAGCAAUACCGCGUGUGUGAAGAAGGCCUUAGGGUUGUAAAGCACUUUCAAUUGGGAGGAAAACCUACCGGUCAAUACCCGGUAGCUUGACAUUACCUUUAGAAGAAGCACCGGCUAACUCCGUGCCAGCAGCCGCGGUAAUACGGAGGGUGCAAGCGUUAAUCGGAAUUACUGGGCGUAAAGCGUGCGUAGGCGGUUCGUUAAGUCAGAUGUGAAAGCCCUGGGCUCAACCUGGGAACUGCAUUUGAAACUGGCGGACUAGAGUUUAGUAGAGGGGAGUGGAAUUUCAGGUGUAGCGGUGAAAUGCGUAGAUAUCUGAAGGAACACCAGUGGCGAAGGCGACUCCCUGGACUAAAACUGACGCUGAGGUACGAAAGCGUGGGUAGCAAACAGGAUUAGAUACCCCGGU
RNAcentral lists this ribosomal RNA (459 nucleotides) under uncultured bacterium. Its description in RNAcentral is "bacterial SSU rRNA". It matches the Rfam family "Bacterial small subunit ribosomal RNA", at positions 339 to 791 of the family's 1533-position model. The record is from RNAcentral.